GGCAUCAUUGCAGUGAUGCUUUGGGAAUUGAAUUGCCCCCACCACAGAAUAGUGGGGUGUACGUGAGGAAUUUAUGGACUUAGAGAAGGGGCAGCUGUUUUGAACAUCAAUGGACAGCUUAAAGAAACAGAAUGACAAGUUAAAAUCCUUGAAUUCUAGGCUCAUAGCACAGACUGAAAUACAUGGAGUUUCUAGGAUCAAGAUAAAAGAAUCUCUUAUCUUUUGUUGCUGCAGGGACUGAGCUGGCAAAAAACAAAAUGUGGUAUUAGAGAUAGUAAAAUUAGACUAUCAGUUGAAUUCAGAGCUUUUCCUCGUCUCUUACGUAAAAAUUAGAGAAUUGGUAGGGAAAGAUAUUUUGGCACCCUGAACACUAACUCCCAUUGAUAGCCCAUUGACACUGAAGAAUACACUAUGAAAAUUCCUUGUACCUCUUCUUAAAGACACCCAUCGCGACUUACCAAGGUAAGGAUGCCCUGGGAAAAUGGAACUGCUAAGAUCUUUUGGAGAUGCUUAGACACAAGCAUUAAACACAUUAAUCUAUUUUGCCAAUUGGGAGGAUUUUCUCUCUGAAACCUACUGGAUGACUUGUGGAGCUCAUGGGCAAAAUAAUGCCACGAGAAGUCCAGUUUUCUCUUGUGCUUUGAUAAUAGUUUCAAAUUGCCUUAAAUAUCAACUUACCAGAAUUUACGGCAAAUGGCUGCCAGUUUGCCUAGAAACUAGAUAAGGGAUCUCAAAGGAACUGACGUGGGGGACUAAUGACAGAUUUUUUUUUUUUGGUGGGAGUGGGGCAUUGGGGAAGAGAAUCAUGGAAGAAUUUUUUAAAAUGGGCUCAGAACAUAAAGAAUAUUCAUGCUACAUAUUAAUGCAAAGGACAUUUCUAGCCAAACAGCUCAUACAUUUAGAUGGACAAGAUAACCUAAUCUCCCAAUGUAGGUCAUCUUCCUUCUAUAGCAACUUUAGAAUUUAAUGAACAAAGUGGCCAUGAUUGAAAAGAUAGUGGCUACUCACAAGCACAACAACACAGGUUUCCCCUUAGCAGUGUACCAAGAUAUUUUACCAAAAGUAGUAAAUACAAACCUACAAUACUAUAGGAUAACUGUUUGGACAAGUGUUUGUUUGAAGUCAGUUGAUGAUUGUUUUACUGCUUUUGUCGUGAAGGAUUCAUGUAGUGCCUCAAGUCAGCAUCGUUAUACCUUACACAACUGAAUGCUUAAUUCAAUGUCAUUAUAUUUCUCAUAAUUUCUUCCAAGCAAGGAACUCAAUUUCCUAUGAACAAAGCAGGAAAAUGGGGUAAUGCCCUUAGGUUACUUUAGUCUUAUAUACUUUAUUGAAGAAUAAGUUAGGUAUCAUGUCAUAGGAUACUACCUAUGAUUUGAAACAUUUGAAACAUAUAUAUUGCUAUUUAUUUCAGUCAGUACACAAUAGAAUUGAAAUUAGUACAUCUUCCAAUUAAACCUAAUUAGUUAUUCACAAUAUCUUUAUUCCUAUCUCUGAAAUAAUGGGAAUACUGGUUUAGAAACUAGUAAUAUUCAAGGGAGAAAUGUUACACCAGGGUAUUCAGUAAUGGUUGCAUGGGAGUAAACAUUGCCAGCUGGCCAAUUCAGAAUCUCAUGACCUGAGUCAGCAAACAAUCAGGUGGGUUAGUGUGUUGUAUAGGGUAAUUGAUAUUGAAAGUCAAGAGGAAAGAUAAUUGAUGAUACAUAAUACAUCAGGAAGGGUGGGUCCCCAGUUGGUCCCAUGGGGAAUUUUUAUGUGACCAUAUUUAUUUGUAAAAGACUGAGCUGUACAUAUAAAACUGGCAGGAGUUCAGAACCCCUAAGAAUGAAAGAUUUACAUAAAUCUACUUUUCCUUUCUUUCAGUCACUACUAUGGCAAGAUCAAGACUGGAUCUAGGAGAUCUCGGUUCAAUAUGGAGAUUAUCCAGAGAUUCUACUGUUGGAGCCAGAUGCUAUAACUGAAGAGGGUUAAAACUGUCUCCUUUUGGGACACCGAAACAUAGAAGCCUGCCCGGGAAGAGCAGGGUAGAACUUAUAUUCUCUUUGUUCAGCUUCCCAGAGGAAUAAGAAGGCCAGAGUGAAGCCAGGAUAGGAAGAAACAUGAAGCGAUGAAACAUACUGAACAAUUCCAUGUUUAUGGAAAAAAAUUCUGGUAAUGAACUUACUUCACACCAAAGAGACAAGGAGUAGCAUCAUUACCUCAAGCAAUAUUGCCAGAGAAAAUCUUGACACAGAGAAGACAAGCUCAGUGCUUAAUGUGAAAAUUUAUCUGCACAUACAGAACCAGUCCAUAAUACAGCACUGUUCACCAUGGUGAAGACAUGGAAUCAACCAAGGUGAUUAUCAAAAGGGAAGAGGAAUGGAUUAAAAAAUAUAUGGUAGAUAUAGACCAUGGAAUCCUAUGCUGCCGUAAAAGAGAACAAAAUCAUGUCCUUUGAGGCAACAGCAUGGAUGCAGCUGGAAGCCGUUAUCCUAAGUGAAUUAACAGAGGAACAGUAAACCAAACACCACACGGUCUUACUUAAAAGUGGGAGCUAAACAUUGGGUACUCAUGGACAUAAAGAUGCCUCAAUAGAUUACGAGGACAAACAGGAUUAAAAAACAUGCGUACUAUCCUCACCAUGUGGGACACAGGAUCAUUUUUACCCCAAACCUCAACAUCAUGCAAUAUACCCAUGUAACAAGCCUGUACAUGUACCUCCUGAAUCUACAAAAAAAAUGACUUUUUUUUUAAGAAUUUGCUGCAAUCUUGGAAAAAUUCUUCUUCAAAGUCUUCUAAAAGCAUUUUAACUUUUUAUUUACAUUUGGAAAUUCAAGCCAUCUAAAAUGAAAUCUAGCAUAUGGUCUGACAUAGGUGCCAACAUUAUUUUUAUAUACAUAUCCAGUUAAGGUGGCAUUAUUUAUUGAGAAGAUGAAGCUUCCUCUAUGGCUCUACAGUUUCUCCUUUGUCAUAGAUUAGUUUUCUCCAUUUUUGUGGGUUUGUUUGUAAACCCUGUAUUCUGUUCCACUGGUCUAUUUAUCAAUCCUUGUUUCAAUCCACACUGUUUAUAGUAAAGUGUUAUAAGAUGAUUUUUAGCUAUUAGUAUAAAAUUGCUGAUUUGCAAUUAUUCGAGACUGACUUUAUUAUUUCCUGCUUUGCAUUUCUACAUAUCUUUUAGAAUCAGCUUGUCAUUUCCCAUCCCCUUCAAAAAACACUACCAUUUUUAUUGGGAUUAUGUUGCAUCUAUAUAUACGAGAGAAUUGUCUUCUAAUUCAUAAAUAUAGCAUAUCCCAAUUUAUUUUAUUUGUUCUAAUAUCUCUUAACAAUGGUUUAUUUUCUACUUGAAGUUUCCACAGCCUUCAUUAGAUCCAUGCCAUUAUAAAUGGUAUCAUUAAAAACAAACAAACAAAAAAUUUACUUUCCGUUUGUUGCUAGUAUAUGUAACUACAAUUUAUUUUUAUACUAGCUUCAUGUCCAGUCCAGUGAUCAUCUCAAUUAACUAAUCCCAAUAAUUUGAGGUAUAUAUUUUUUUGAAUUUUCUAUGAAAAAAAAUCAUGUCUGCACAUAAGUUGAUUUUUAUUUCUGCAAUAUAAUUAUUUGGCUUAUUGUACUGGCUAGGCUUUGCCAGAUAAUUAUUAAUGGGUCAUAGGAGAUAUCCUUAUCUCAUUACAGAAGUCAUACAUCUUUCAUUAUUUCAUCAUUAAAUCUGAUAAUUCUUUCCAUUUUUAAAAUAAAUGCCUUGUUUCAGACUAAGAAAACUCUAUUUUAUUUCUAGUUUUCUGUUAUUUAAUAUUACAAAUGGGAUUUGAGAUGAUUAUUAUAAUUCUCUUUUUUGUUAAUUUAGAAAAUUGUAUUAAUUGAUCUAAAAAUUUUAAGCCACCCCUGAAGUCCUGAAAUAAAUUCAUUUUUAAAAUUUAUACAUUGUAUUUUAUUAAUUGAUAAUUUUUCUUGAUAAUAUUUUGUUUAUCAUUGUACUUAGUGAUGAAAUAAUUAUUUUUUAGGAUGUUGGUAUCAAGGUUAUGCUGGACUCAUAAAAAGAAUGUGGCAUAUUCUCAGUUUAUAAAAGUGGCUAUUUAGGACUGGUAUAAUUUAUUAUUUGUUUAAAGGUUUGAGUACAGAGUUUCUUCUGGAUAUGGAGUUUUAUCCAGAUAAUUAUUUUAAUUAGAUUCAAUUCUAAUAGGUUUUUAAAUUCAAUUCUAAUUAGAUUUUUUAUUUCUUCUAUCAGUUUUGAAAAUCUGUUUUUCUAAGAAUUUUAUUUAUUUUUUUCUAUUUAUUGGCAUAAAUUUGUUUAUAAUAUUCUGAUUUUUUUGAUUAUGUAUUCCCACAAUCACCCUGUGAAAUAAACUACCUUAAGAUUUACUGGCUUAAAAC
RNAcentral lists this long non-coding RNA (4347 nucleotides) under Homo sapiens (human). Its description in RNAcentral is "non-protein coding lnc-MANEA-3:4". Lineage: Eukaryota; Metazoa; Chordata; Mammalia; Primates; Hominidae. The record is from RNAcentral.